RNAcentral lists this ribosomal RNA (258 nucleotides) under uncultured bacterium. RNAcentral describes it as "partial 16S ribosomal RNA". It matches the Rfam family "Bacterial small subunit ribosomal RNA", at positions 1244 to 1500 of the family's 1533-position model. The record is from RNAcentral.
AAAGGCAAAGACCGCGAGGCAGAGCAAAUCCCCAAAACGGACGUCUCAGUUCGGAUUGCAGGCUGCAACUCGCCUGCAUGAAGUCGGAAUUGCUAGUAAUCGCGGAUCAGCAUGCCGCGGUGAAUACGUUCCCGGGCCUUGUACACACCGCCCGUCACACCAUGGGAGCCGGAAAUGCCCGAAGCCAGUGACCCAACCUUAGGGAGGGAGCUGUCGAAGGUGGAGCCGGUAACUGGGGUGAAGUCGUAACAAGGUAGC